UCUAGUGUAGUAUAAUGGUUUGAGCGUUGGACUACAACUCUGGAGACCAUGGUUCGAAUCCUCGCUCUGCCA
Phrynosoma platyrhinos (Desert horned lizard) is the source of this 72-nucleotide non-coding RNA. NCBI's taxonomy places the organism in Eukaryota, Metazoa, Chordata, Lepidosauria, Squamata, Phrynosomatidae. The record is from the annotation of a GenBank genome assembly.